GUAGGUUUCUUCCAAAAAAGCCUACCACAUUUUGAACAAAAAGCUGAGAUAAUUCCAUUUUGUAAAGGGCUUUUAAGAUCAGCUUCAGAACGACCCUCCAAACAUACAGAGUAUGGGAGUUCAGAUGCAGGCAGGCCUACUAUCAUCAAAAACAUUAGUGUCAAAUGAUACGCUUAAUCCUGCCCUCGCUCGGGUCAUUCAAAACAUACUGUUUUUUUUUUUUUUUAGCUUUUUAGGCAAAUUCCAGCCUGAUAAAAAUGCUAAUUAACAAGAAAUCAUGCUAGACGCACUUAAGUGGGUUUUGCAUCUGAGCUCUUCAUUUACUGCUUUUGGGUCGGUAAAAAUGCUGCAAUGUUUUAUAAGGUAACAGCGUCACCUACUGCAUUAUAGCGGAAAUAUGGGUGUGGUUACAGAAUUUUCCGUCAUCAGCGGGGAAGCGUUGCCUCGAACCUCAAGUGGCGGGAAGUUGAUUGACAGGCGACCUGACCAAUCAUAUCACAAAUAUUAUGCGCCCCCGACGUUGUUCACCAAUCAAAACAUACAGUUAAACUGGCGGGCAGUGACGUCACACAUGUGAUAUUAAAAUGAAUUUUUUGUGGUAUUCUCACUCUGUACGAAUAAAAGCAAUGUCAUACCUAUAAAACGGAUUCGCACAAGAACUAGAAGACACGGAAGUUUUAUAGCCACACCACUGCAAGAUUGGAUUUCAAAACUUCUGACACUGCCAGAAUUUUAUCAGAGUGGGAGUGCUUUGCUAAUGUCGGAUAUAACGUUAGCUUUGCGAAUGGUCAACUGACGAGAUAGAACAGAGAACAGCAGCAGUUCAAUACCAGGAGGUAGUUCAGUUUGCUCAGAGGCUAAUCAGCCAAUCUCUGAACAGAUUAUAGUGGUGAAGACUUCAAUCAGACUGCUGCCUAUUACAGAUUAAGAUGCAGAACUCCGACAAUCCAGAUUCCAGCUGUAGGAAUAUCCUUAUGAUCCCAGAAGUGAGCUGACUCCAUAUCUGCUUUUCUGUCUGACUUUAAGAGGUCUGAUUGAAAAGAAAAUGGCAGUGAGACAUCAAACUGCAGCUCAGUGGUUAAACCUCUGUUAGUUAUUAGCUCUCUCUGACAUACAUUCAAACCUCUAAAAACCACAACAGAAAAGUAACAUCAACAUCGUGUGCUGUUUCAUUUUUGACUACUGAGACUUAUUUUUUGUAAUCUUACAAGAAAUCUUGUUUAGCUUUUGGAGAGCAUUUAAAGAAAAAUAAGAUGACAAAAGUAACGGUGCACAUACAUCUAGUUUUUAAUGUCAAAUGUUACCUUCUUAAGCAUCAGCAAAUUGCCUUGUUUGUUUUUAUUUGUAAAUAGUUGAGUUUGUAAUAGUAGUAAAAAAAGAGAUAGAUCUCAACAUCAUAAAGUCACUGUUGCCAAGUGCAUGCAAAAGGUGCAAAAAAGCAUAGAAUGUUGGUCUAAAGACCACUGGGCAGUUUGAUGGUUCAGGAUAAACAAGACACUAAACAACAACAACCAGGGGUUACUUUGGUCAGUUCUGUUAUAGCUGUGGUUGUGAAAUAUAUGUAAACAUUUGUUAUGUGAAAUUGAUGAGUAACAUAUAUGUUUGAAUAUUUCCAAAAACAAUUUUAUCUUACCAUGUCUAAAUGUAGAAAAAUGUGCAGUAGCAAGGUCUAGGAGAUAAGAUCUUGCUUCACAGAAGCACAGGAGCGAUGUGGUCUCUAAAAACCCCACUCCUAUACAAACAUAGGGUCUUUCUGUUUCCGUUACUGCUUACCGGUUGUACUGUAUGUGGGGCUACAGCAAACAGUUUAUAUAGUAUAAUAUAGUUUUUAAACUUUUAUUGCGUCAGCUAGCUUUUUACAAACUUUUAAGUCAGUAUUCAAGCAUUCAGUUCAGUGUUUAUGAUAUUCCUA
Misgurnus anguillicaudatus (oriental weatherfish) is the source of this 1912-nucleotide non-coding RNA. The record is from RefSeq and is a predicted model, not a curated record. Lineage: Eukaryota; Metazoa; Chordata; Actinopteri; Cypriniformes; Cobitidae.